This 250-nucleotide ribosomal RNA is filed under the name uncultured bacterium. RNAcentral's name for it is "partial 16S ribosomal RNA". It matches the Rfam family "Bacterial small subunit ribosomal RNA", at positions 524 to 773 of the family's 1533-position model. The record is from RNAcentral.
UACGGAGGAUGCGAGCGUUAUCCGGAUUUAUUGGGUUUAAAGGGUGCGUAGGCGGAUGAAUAAGUCAGUGGUGAAAACCUGCAGCUUAACUGUAGAACUGCCAUUGAUACUGUUUGUCUUGAGUGUGGUCAAGGUAGGCGGAAUGUGUAAUGUAGCGGUGAAAUGCUUAGAUAUUACACAGAACACCGAUUGCGAAGGCAGCUUACUGGACCAUUACUGACGCUGAUGCACGAAAGCGUGGGGAGCGAAC